AUCAUCUCCAUCAACAACAACAUCAACUGUUAGUGUAGCAAGAACAACGUCCCAAACCACUGCCCCCGCAGCUUUGUUUAGGCCUUGUACUGCUAGCUCUGGCUGUUUAACUACCGGGGCUUCUUGUAGAAGAAGGGGCUGUGACGGCCUGAUUUGCUACUGUGACAUAGGUUUUCUGCCCACUUACGAUUUUACCUUUUGCGAACCAGCUGCCGUCUUAAACGAGACUUGCGUGACACGGUGUAGUGGAUUGCACACUGUGUGUGAUAUUGAUACCGAGAAGUGUGUAUGUGAGCAAGGCUUCUCUCCGAGCGCUGGUGAUAAAGACUGUACUGAGGAUGGAAAAGCUCUCUUGGAAGAGCCGUGCACUGUUGACAGUUGUGCCCUUUCAACUGAACAGACUUGUGUAGAAGGAGAAUGCAAAUGCAUAAGUGGAAAGCGCAAAGCAACAAUUGCAGAGCUACACGCAUACCCUGACGUUGACCUUCAGUGCAGAGACAUCGGCUAUUUUCUAGAACAAUGUGACGAAAAUAAUUUGCAACAAUUUCCAAGGUUUGAUUUAACACUUAUCGGACGAACAAGUCCAGCUACAACAAGAAGAACAACGGCGGCAGUACCAUUCGUCGCUAUUUUGUCAGCCUGCCUUGAGGACAGUGACUGUCCUGUCGAUGCUUCCUGUAUGGUGCGCUACCC
Molecule: long non-coding RNA, 693 nt
Organism: Liolophura sinensis
Lineage: Eukaryota; Metazoa; Mollusca; Polyplacophora; Chitonida; Chitonidae
Exons: 3
Source: RefSeq, a predicted model, not a curated record